Molecule: non-coding RNA, 89 nt
Filed under: Paenibacillus sp.
Lineage: Bacteria; Bacillati; Bacillota; Bacilli; Caryophanales; Paenibacillaceae
Description: c-di-GMP sequence
Rfam family: c-di-GMP-I riboswitch aptamer
About the family: GEMM was predicted in a large-scale screen for bacterial structured RNA regulatory elements. Genes associated with GEMM are involved in a diverse array of functions, including chemotaxis regulation, signal transduction, secretion and chitin.
Source: RNAcentral
GUACGAAAACGGCAAACCCAUUGAAAAGUGGAGACGCAAAGCUAUAGGGGCUAAUGUGGAUAAGUACACGAUGCCAGCCAGUUGCCGAA